GACGAACGCUGGCGGCGUGCCUAAUACAUGCAAGUAGAACGCUGAAGGAGGAGCUUGCUUCUCUGGAUGAGUUGCGAACGGGUGAGUAACGCGUAGGUAACCUGCCUGGUAGCGGGGGAUAACUAUUGGAAACGAUAGCUAAUACCGCAUAAGAGUAGAUGUUGCAUGACAUUUUCUUAAAAGGUGCAAUUGCAUCACUACCAGAUGGACCUGCGUUGUAUUAGCUAGUUGGUGGGGUAACGGCUCACCAAGGCGACGAUACAUAGCCGACCUGAGAGGGUGAUCGGCCACACUGGGACUGAGACACGGCCCAGACUCCUACGGGAGGCAGCAGUAGGGAAUCGUCGGCAAUGGACGGAAGUCUGACCGAGCAACGCCGCGUGAGUGAAGAAGGUUUUCGGAUCGUAAAGCUCUGUUGUAAGAGAAGAACGAGUGUGAGAGUGGAAAGUUCACACUGUGACGGUAUCUUACCAGAAAGGGACGGCUAACUACGUG
This 495-nucleotide ribosomal RNA is filed under the name uncultured bacterium. Its description in RNAcentral is "partial 16S ribosomal RNA". It matches the Rfam family "Bacterial small subunit ribosomal RNA", at positions 28 to 507 of the family's 1533-position model. The record is from RNAcentral.